This 508-nucleotide ribosomal RNA is filed under the name uncultured bacterium. RNAcentral describes it as "bacterial SSU rRNA". It matches the Rfam family "Bacterial small subunit ribosomal RNA", at positions 20 to 518 of the family's 1533-position model. The record is from RNAcentral.
UGGCUCAGGAUGAACGCUAGCGACAGGCCUAACGCAUGCAAGUCGAGGGGCAGCGCGGGAGAAGCUUGCUUUCCUGGCGGCGACCGGCGCACGGGUGCGUAACAGGUGUGCAAUCUGUCCAUAGUCGGGGAAUAGCCCAGCGAAAGUUGGAUUAAUGCUCCAUGUGGGCGAGUGCCGCAUGACACUUGCUUGAAACGUAAGGACUAUGGGUGAGCACGCUUCUGAUUAGAUAGUUGGUGAGGUAACGGCUCACCAAGUCGACGAUCAGUAGGGGUUCUGAGAGGAAGGUCCCCCCACAUUGGAACUGAGACACGGUCCAAACUCCUACGGGAGGCAGCAGUGAGGAAUAUUGGUCAAUGGGCGAGAGCCUGAACCAGCCAAGUCGCGGUUGAAGGAUGAAGGUUCUAUGGAUUGUAAACUUCUUUUGUCCGAGGGUAAAAAAGGCCACGUGUGGCUUCUUGCAAGUAUCGGACGAAUAAGCAUCGGCUAACUCCGUGCCAGCCGCCGC